GAGCAUGAGAUAGCACAGGGAUGUGCUUUUGUUUGUUUGAAGCUGGAAGGGGCCACAUGAGAAGGAAUGUGGGCAGCUUCUAAGAGCAAACAACAGUCCCUGGCUGGCAGCCAGCCAAGAAACAAGGACCUCCAUCCUACACCUGCAAGGAACCGAAUUCUGCCGACACCUGAAUGAGCUUGAAAGUGGGUUCUCUUCCAACACCUCUAGAUAAGAGUCCAGCUGGCUUACAACUUCGUUUCAGCCUUGUGAUACCCUGAGAAGAGCCCAGCUUAGCCUGCCAGGACCCCUGACCUACACAAGGGUUCCUCCAAAGACACAAGGAAUCGAGAUGCCUUUCCCACACGUGAUUCCACUGCAGGACAGCUUUCCCAUCUCUUUUCCUCCCACCUCAUAAUGAAAAAUUUUCCCAGAGAGUGAACACACAGAAUCUACUUCCCCAACCAGAGAUUGAACCUGGGCCCCCUGCAUUGGGAGUACAGAGUCUUAGCCACUGGACCACCAUGGAAGUCCCUUGAUUGGCCUUUUUUUUGCUGCAUGUGGUUAGGUACAGGAAGAGAGAGAUGAGCUAAAGAGAGAACUACUCACUUUGUAAACACUAUAGAGGGACAAUAAUGUAACCAAGACUUUCUAAGUUGGAAAAUAAAACUCUUUCAUAACCUUUUUUCAAGAAAUGGCCUCAAGUUAGAUUAAAUCAAGA
Long non-coding RNA from Bubalus bubalis (water buffalo), 700 nucleotides. RefSeq lists it as uncharacterized. The transcript is spliced from 3 exons. NCBI's taxonomy places the organism in Eukaryota, Metazoa, Chordata, Mammalia, Artiodactyla, Bovidae. The record is from RefSeq and is a predicted model, not a curated record.